AUUGAACGCUGGCGGCAGGCUUAACACAUGCAAGUCGAGCGGGGUGAUGGUGCUUGCACUAUCACUUAGCGGCGGACGGGUGAGUAAUGCUUAGGAAUCUGCCUAUUAGUGGGGGACAACAUCUCGAAAGGGAUGCUAAUACCGCAUACGUCCUACGGGAGAAAGCAGGGGAUCACUUGUGACCUUGCGCUAAUAGAUGAGCCUACGUCGGAGUAGCUAGUUGGUGGGGUAAGGGCCUACCAAGGCGACGAUCUGUAGCGGGUCUGAGAGGAUGAUCCGCCACACGGGGACUGAGACACGGCCCAGACUCCUACGGGAGGCAGCAGUGGGGAAUAUUGGACAAUGGGGGGAACCCUGAUCCAGCCAUGCCGCGUGUGUGAAGAAGGCCUUAUGGUUGUAAAGCACUUUAAGCGAGGAGGAGGCUCUUUUGGUUAAUACCCAAGAUGAGUGGACGUUACUCGCAGAAUAAGCACCGGCUAACUCUGUGCCAGCAGCCGCCGUAA
This 503-nucleotide ribosomal RNA is filed under the name uncultured bacterium. RNAcentral describes it as "partial 16S ribosomal RNA". It matches the Rfam family "Bacterial small subunit ribosomal RNA", at positions 30 to 523 of the family's 1533-position model. The record is from RNAcentral.